Pyrus x bretschneideri (Chinese white pear) is the source of this 501-nucleotide long non-coding RNA. RefSeq lists it as uncharacterized. The record is from RefSeq and is a predicted model, not a curated record. The transcript has 2 exons. Lineage: Eukaryota; Viridiplantae; Streptophyta; Magnoliopsida; Rosales; Rosaceae.
AGAUCUUAUUAUGUACUAGAAAAAAAACAUCAAUUAUCUAAACCCUAAUUCCAAUAUAAACCCACUUCCCCUCAUUUUUCUCUUUUCCCUUCUUCAACUGCCGCACAACUCAUCAGUUUUCCAUUUUUCCUUCAUUUUUCUUCCUCUUUCUCUUGUGCAUAUCCCAAUCCGUCCUCUCUUUCUUUCAUUCUUAGUACUUUUUUGUUGUCUAUUACUCCUUUGCUAGUCCGGGAUGACUGAAAGAAAGAUUUGUCACAAAGAAGGCUCAUGUGCUACUGCAACAUAAGAAGAUAGACUCAGAGAUCUGGUCUACAAAGCUCGAGAUUGAAGGAAUGGAGAAGAUUGAAAGAAGAAAAUGUUUUUUCAUGUUUUUUUUUUUUUUUUAAUUUAUGUUGUUCUGAGAUCUGGAAAGAUGAAGAUGAACCAUGCUGGGUUUAAAUAUUUUGAAUGAUUCAAAACCAAUAACUCAUGUUUGGGUGGAUUAAUACAUUUAUUAUCUUG